This 5487-nucleotide long non-coding RNA is filed under the name Sus scrofa (pig). RNAcentral's name for it is "lncRNA (ENSSSCG00025046114.1)". Lineage: Eukaryota; Metazoa; Chordata; Mammalia; Artiodactyla; Suidae. The record is from RNAcentral.
AGUCCUCAGAUAUUUUUUAGAGUCACUGAAGCUUGAUAAAAUAAAAGAUAAAAUAAAAGUUAAAUCCAGUUACAGCACUAAGAUUUACCAUCUGUUUUUCUUAAAGCAGAAAAAUUCAAUUUUUUGUCCCUUGACCACAACUACCUUGGGACACCAUAAUUCAGAGUUUCUAUCCUUUCUGCAGUGACUGUCACCCCAGCUGUACAUGUGAAUGAGCUGGGGAGCAGCAACCACACCCCAAACCAUAUUUGGAACCAGAACAAUGGACAGGGCCCCUCCCUCAUCCGCACACACUAUGAGUUCCUAUAAAUGCCAGGAAAACAACAUAAAGAUGCAUUGUCCUCCAGAGCAAGCAGCAUGGGCUGUGGUGAUGUUAUGCAUUCUCGUUUUGGCCUAUCAGCAUCUGGAGAACCAGAGUUCUGGGCUAUCUUUCUGGGUUUUUUUUUUUUACUUAAUGAAUUGUACUACAUUUAUAGGUGUACAACAAUCAUCACAACCUAAUUUUACAGCAUUACCAUCCCAAACCCUCAGUGCAUCCCCUCACCCCCAACCUGUCUCCUUUGGAAACCAUAAGUUUUUCAAAAUCUGUGAGUCAGUAUCUGUUCUACAAAGUUCAUUGUGUCCUUUUUUAAGAUUCCACAUGUAAGUGAUAGCAUUUGAUGUUGGUGUCUCAUUGUCUGACUAAAUUCACUUAGCAUGAUAAUUUCUAGGUCCAUUCAUUUUGCUGCAAGUGCCGUUAUGUCUUUCCUUUUAAUGGCUGAGUAAUAUUCCAUUUGUACUGUCUUUAUCAGGUAUCAGGUUGGACUUUAGGAGACUUGCAGUGGGACCUCAAAAUGUAACAUUAGGAGUUACACUUUUUUGAGUAACACAUAUAGAGUAGGCAUUUUAUGUCUUAUUAAAUCAUAACCCUUCAAGUUAGGGGUUUUUUUUAGAUUUUAUUUGUAAGUUAAGUAUGAAAUUGGUUCUGUAGUUCCAACUGUUAUGAAUUUGUAAAUAUAAAUAAUACUUGUUUUUCUUCAUGCUGGUAAAGUUAGGUAUUUUUAUCCCCAUUUUAUAGAUGAUGAAACUGAGGCUCGAGAUAAUAAAUGAUGUGUUCCAAUUCACAGGCUAGUAAGUGAUGCCAAAAGUUGAAUUCAAAUCCAUCUAAUUCUCAAACCUUUGCUCUUUCUACCAGCCUCUCCCAUGAUGUCUCAUGUUUAUCUCAAAGAAGGUAAAAUCUUUGACAUCUCUCCUGUUAUGAAAUUCCCAGCUCUUUCAAGUGAUGAACAAGUUCUGGUUGGAGUUUGUAUAUGAACUAACAGCAUAGGGAGUUUCCUGAUAGUCUACUGGUUAGAACUCAGUACUUUAACCUCUGUGGCCUGUGUUCAAUCCUUAGGCUGGGAACUGAGAUCCCACAUCAAGUUGCUGCACACUGCAGCCAGGAAAAAAAAAAAGAGGACAGACAUCAGAAAAAUUCCUGGCAUGUGGACACUACUCUCUGUAGCUCUGGCCACCAAGCCUGAGUGUCCCAGUGCAUCAUCCUUGUCCAAACCCGCAUUUCAUAUGACUGGGCAAAAGAAGGUCUGGGGUAGAUCAUUUCUGAAUGUCUAAGUGAAAAUAACUCAAAUAGCAUGGGAUGGUGAAUGUCCUAAAAUGCCCAUUACCAUGCAGAAAUUCACAAGUUCUCACAUAGAAUUGUAUAUGCUCCAAAUCUUAACUGUGAGCCAUGAUGGUGAAAGUAACCUGUUAAUAUUGGAAGCUUUGGGGAAAAAAUUAUUAUUCUCAAUGUGCUUCAGAAGCUUAUCUAUAAACAUUUUAUCACCUCAGAACUCAGGCAACACAAGGUCAUGGCUGAUGCUGUGAAGGUUGUCAGAAUCUCGUGAGCACUAAACAGAAUCUCGUGAGCACUAAACAUAAAACUGUAAAUCUGUCCAAAGAUUAAUUCACACCUGUGGCAAAGGAUAGCCUUGCAAUAGGUGAUAGCUUACAGUUCUAAAAUCACUAAUGUGGAGAGAAAAAAUGGAACAUUCCACUCCAUUAAAGAGUUACAAUAAACAUUCUUCAGUGGGGGUGAGCAAGUGCUUCUGCAUUAGUCACCUACUGCUGAGUAACAAAUUACCCCAAUGUUUAUCCAUUCAAAAAACACACAUCUAUUACGUCACAAUUUCCUUGGGUCAGGAAUCCAGGAGAGGCUUAGCCAGGUCCCCUUUAUCAGGGUCUCUCACAGUCUAGAGUGAUCUUGUGGCUUCCCUAGAGGAAGAAGAAUAUCCAGGCUCACUCAUGUGGGUGCUGGCAAGAUUUUGUUCCUUGAGAGCUGUUGGACUGAGGGCCUUGGUUCCUCCCUGACUGUUGACUGGAGGCCUCUCUUAGUUAUUUGUUUUGUGGGUCUCCCCAGGGACAACUCACAGCAUGGCAUCUGGCUUCUCUGAGAAUGAGCAAGCAAGAGAGCAAGGAAGAAGGAGCAAGAUGGAAACCAGAGUCUUUUUGUAACCUCAGAAGUGACAGCCUUUCCUCAGAAAACUAAAAAUAGAAUUACUAUUUGAUCCACCCAUCCCACACCUGGGCAUCUAUUCAGAGAAAACCAUACUCGAAAAGAUACAUGUACUCCAAAGUUCAUUGCAGAACUGUAUACAAUAGCCAAGACAUGGAAACAACCUGAAUGUCCAUUGACAGAGGAGUGGAUAAAGAAGAUGUGGUACACAAACACAAGGGAACAUUACUCAGCCAUUAAAAGGAAAGAAAUAACGGCACUUGCAGCAAAAUGAAUGGAAUUAGAAAUUAUCAUGCUAAGUGAAAUUAGCCAGACAGUGAGACACCAACAUCAUAUGCUAUCACUUAAAUGUGGAAUCUUAAAAAAGGACACAAUGAACUUCUUUCUUUGUAGAACAAAUACUGACUCACAGACUUUGAAAAACUUAUGGUUUCCAAAGGAGACAGGUUGGGGGUGGGGGGAUGGGCUGAGGGUUUAGAAUGGAAAUGCUCUAAAAUUGGGUUGUGAUGAUCAUUGUACAACUAUAAAAGUAAUAAAAUUCAUUGAAUAAUUUUAAAAAAGAGAAGUGACAGCCUAUUACUCUCACUCAUCUAUCAGCAUUUUACUCUUUAGAAGCAAGUCACUAGGUUUAGCCCACACUCAAGUGGAGGAAAUUACUGAAAGGCUUUAACACCAGGGAUCAGAGCUUCCUGGGAGCCAACGUAGAAGCUGCCUGGCCCAGUAUCACUGGACUUGGUACCACAGAAGCAUCCAGGUCAGGCCUAACAAUGACCUUCCCACUCUUGCUACAUAAACAGUAGCUCCUGCUCAGUUCUGGAUGAUGCACAGGUGUUCCAGUGAGAUCUGUUCCUGAAGAGGUGGGCUUUUGUUUCCCUUGGGUUGAUUCUACUUUGCAAUAUUCCCCAACAACCUCUGCUUCAGCCUAAUAGAGAAUUCUAUGGAAAAACACACAUUUGGAGCAAGCACACACAGACACCCACACACACAACAGCUUUUUCUCAGUUUUUUGAAUGCAGACUGAGGAUCAUCUCUAAAGAGGUGAAAGUGGUGAAAAAGAAAAGGCCCUUUAAAUAGCAGACCAGACAUCUGAGUUCAAGUGGUGCCUUCAACAGGAAAUAAUUGUACGAUAUUAACACAUUAUUUAACUUUUCCUCACCUACCGUAAAAGAGAGAGAGGGAGAAAAAAAGGGGGAACAAAGAUGAUUCUAGUCUAACUCCCUCAAAAGCCCCAUUCAGCUUCUUUCCAAAGAGAAUUCUCACAACCCCUCCCUUAGGGACCCUAGGUCAAAAGUUGCCAUUUGCCCUAUUUUCUUUUUUGUUUGUUUUUGUUUUUGGCCAUGCCCCUGGCAUGCAGAAGUUCCCAACUUGUGGAGUUUCCCAGGCUAAGGAUCAAACCCAUGCCAUAGCAGCAACUCGAGCCACGGCAGUGACAGCACCUGAGCCAUAAUGCACCAAGCCGCAUGAGAACUCCGUCUUUUGCCCUAUUAUCGCUCCCCCCAACCCAGGCACCCCAGAAUCCUGGUCAUUUAGUUGCUUCUCUCAGUGCAUUUACAUUCCCUCAGUAGCCACAGGAUUUUUCAGUUUACACGGAUAUAAUUUUAAUUUUACUGAUGAUGAAAUUGAAGCACUGAGCGAUUCAAUACUUUAUAGGACUACUCAGUAGCAGAAGCCAGACUACGAUAACCCCAGGAAUUGUGCUACGAAGCGUCAGGCCUCCUGUAAAAUGACAGUUACAGAUGACAUAAUUGCACAUGUGGAUGUAGAACAACCUCAUUAUCAAUGAAUAGUCUGAAACGAAAGCUGUUUUCUAAAGAAGCUCGGUCUAUUUUUAAAAUAAUGCAUUGUACACAGUCAGCACAAUACCAUUUAGCUUACGUGUGACUUUGGGCAAGUUACUUACCUCUCUGAGGCUCAAUUUGCUCAUGGUAAAAUGAGGAAAAGAAAUAUUUGUUGUGAGUACCAAAUUAGAUAUAAUAUCUAAAGUGCCCAUUAUAAAACGCUGCACCUAUAAUUAUGUAUAUUUUAUAAUUAUAUUUUUAUUGUAAUUAUUCAUUCUCUUGACUGGCUCUGAAAAAAAAAUCACAUACUAUGUUUAAGGUGAUGAUAUUAAAAUUUGAGGCCAGGAGAUCUCGUUGUGGCUCAGUGUAACAAACCCGAUAGAAUCCAUGAAGACGUGGGUUCAAUCCCUGGCCUCACUCAGUGGGGUGGCUCAGACAUAGCGUUGCUGUGGCUGAGGUGUAGGUCAGCAGCUGUAGUUCCAUUCCUCCCCUAGCCUGGGAACUUCCAUAUUCCACAGGUGCAGCCCUAAAAAGCAAAUUAAAUAAAUAAAUAAAUAUAUAAAAUUUGAGGCCAUAAUGAAAAGGCUUUGCAUAAUUUCUCUCCUCAAAUGAUCACCUAUCAGUUCCUCUUUCAAGGAUGAGUCAGAGAGUUAACCUAGAAACAUCUGUGAUCAGUUCCCAAGAACUUCUGGGGGCUAAGGAGUCUGGGACCCCAUUAAGCACAGGAGUUUUGUAAAACCUAGAUUUCUCUUUCCUUAGUACAGGCCACCUUCAUAAAUUUGUAUUUCUCUAAAUUCUUUAAAUUCUUUUCUUCUUUCUAUUUGUCAUCAAACUUCUGAAUGCAUAUUUUAUAUUUUUCAAUUGUAGGUUAACAUAAUUUCAGUCAGCCCUUAAUAAUUAGCUCUUUUUCCCAAAUCUUUCUAUGUAGUACCUUGGAAUGUAUCACCAGGUCUUCUGUAUCAUUUUUACUUUAUGACAAGGAACCUUCUGCUAAUGAAUAAAUGAAAUGUGGUUAUAACAGUGCCUGGCACAAAGUUCCCAAUGAAUGUUAGUGUUAGUGUGGCUGAACAAAUAGGCAGCUAAUAUUUACUGAGAACUAACUUGGUGCAGCACUGCUGGCCAAAGACUUUUUUGUUGGGGCCAGAUUAUUCAGGAUCAAUGCAUUUACCAAGAUAUCUUUAGCCAUUUAAUCGGUUUUUAAAUUGAUGGUCCAGAUUCUUUCUCAAAAAAAAAAAAAAA